UCUCAAAUCACUAUAGCCCAUGUCAAGUU
Molecule: non-coding RNA, 29 nt
Filed under: Rattus norvegicus (Norway rat)
Lineage: Eukaryota; Metazoa; Chordata; Mammalia; Rodentia; Muridae
Source: RNAcentral